AUUGAACGCUGGCGGCAGGCCUAACACAUGCAAGUCGAGCGGAUGAAGGGAGCUUGCUCCUGGAUUCAGCGGCGGACGGGUGAGUAAUGCCUAGGAAUCUGCCUGGUAGUGGGGGAUAACGUCCGGAAACGGGCGCUAAUACCGCAUACGUCCUGAGGGAGAAAGUGGGGGAUCUUCGGACCUCACGCUAUCAGAUGAGCCUAGGUCGGAUUAGCUAGUUGGUGGGGUAAAGGCCUACCAAGGCGACGAUCCGUAACUGGUCUGAGAGGAUGAUCAGUCACACUGGAACUGAGACACGGUCCAGACUCCUACGGGAGGCAGCAGUGGGGAAUAUUGGACAAUGGGCGAAAGCCUGAUCCAGCCAGGCCGCGUGUGUGAAGAAGGUCUUCGGAUUGUAAAGCACGUUAAGUUGGGAGGAAGGGCAGUAAGUUAAUACCUUGCUGUUUUGACGGUACCAACAGAAUAAGCACCGGCUAACUUCGUG
Molecule: ribosomal RNA, 484 nt
Filed under: uncultured bacterium
Lineage: Bacteria
Description: partial 16S ribosomal RNA
Rfam family: Bacterial small subunit ribosomal RNA
Source: RNAcentral